CCCUUAGAUGUUCUGGGCCGCACGCGUGCUACACUGGUACAAUCACUAAGUUUCUGAGUAGUUAUGCUUGGGCAAUCUUGAAAACUGUACCGUGACGGGGCUUGACUGUUGAAAUUUUCUGUCACUAACGAGGAAUUCCUAGUAAAUGUGGGUCAUGAACUCACGUUGAUUACGUCCCUGCCCUUUGUACACACCGCCCGUCGCUCCUACCGAUUGAAUGUUCCGGUGAAUUCUUCGGAGUCUGCGGUAUCAAUGUUUCAUUAUACCAUAGGCGAAGUUGCGCAAACCUUAACAUUUAGAGGAAGGAGAAGUCGUAACA
Molecule: ribosomal RNA, 319 nt
Filed under: uncultured eukaryote
Lineage: Eukaryota
Description: partial 18S ribosomal RNA
Rfam family: Eukaryotic small subunit ribosomal RNA
Source: RNAcentral